RNAcentral lists this ribosomal RNA (197 nucleotides) under uncultured bacterium. RNAcentral describes it as "partial 16S ribosomal RNA". It matches the Rfam family "Bacterial small subunit ribosomal RNA", at positions 328 to 538 of the family's 1533-position model. The record is from RNAcentral.
ACGCUCGACACCUACGGGAGGCAGCAGUUGGGAAUAUUGGACAAUGGAGGAAACUCUGAUCCAGUGACGCCGCGUGAAGGAAGAAGGUCUUCGGAUUGUAAACUUAUUUUGUCAGGGAAGAAAAAUGACUGUACCUGAAGAAAAAGCACCGGCUAACUACGUGCCACAGCCGCGGUAAUCUGAGCGGGCUGCAAGGC